AGGGAUUGCCUUAGUAACGGCGAGUGAAGCGGCAACAGCUCAAAUUUGAAAGCUGGCCCUUUCAGGGUCCGCGUUGUAAUUUGUAGAGGAUGAUUCGGCGAGGGCUCCCGCCUAAGUCCCCUGGAACGGGGCGUCAUAGAGGGUGAGAAUCCCGUAUGCGGUGGGUUGCCUUAGCCAUGUGAAUCUCCUUCGACGAGUCGAGUUGUUUGGGAAUGCAGCUCUAAAUGGGAGGUAAAUUUCUUCUAAAGCUAAAUACCGGCCAGAGACCGAUAGCGCACAAGUAGAGUGAUCGAAAGAUGAAAAGCACUUUGGAAAGAGAGUUAAAAAGUACGUGAAAUUGUUGAAAGGGAAGCGCUUGCAACCAGACUUGUCCGCAGUUGCUCAGCCGGUCUCCUGACCGGCGUACUCUUCUGCGGCCAGGCCAGCAUCAGUUCGGGCGGUCGGAUAAAGGCCUCGGGAAUGUGGCUCCUCUCGGGGAGUGUUAUAGCCCGGGGUGGAAUGCGGCCAGCCUGGACUGAGGAUCUCGCUUCGGCAAGGAUGCUGGCGUAAUGGUUGUAAGCGGCCCGUCUUGAAACACGGACCAAGGAGUCUAACAUCUAUGCGAGUGUUUGGGUGUCAAACCCAUACGCGUAAUGAAAGUGAACGGAGGUGGGAACCCGCAAGGGCGCACCAUCGGCCGAUCCUGAUGUCUUCGGAUGGAUUUGAGCAAGAGCAUAGCUGUUGGGACCCGAAAGAUGGUGAACUAUGCCUGAAUAGGGUGAAGCCAGAGGAAACUCUGGUGGAGGCUCGCAGCGGUUCUGACGUGCAAAUCGAUCGUCAAAUUUGGG
RNAcentral lists this ribosomal RNA (827 nucleotides) under Diplodia seriata. RNAcentral describes it as "eukaryotic LSU rRNA". It matches the Rfam family "Eukaryotic large subunit ribosomal RNA", at positions 70 to 915 of the family's 3401-position model. The record is from RNAcentral. Lineage: Eukaryota; Fungi; Ascomycota; Dothideomycetes; Botryosphaeriales; Botryosphaeriaceae.